UGGUAUACCCAGUACCUCACAUUGUUCACAUUUGUAUUUUUACGAUUUCGUCGCUGUCUUCAAUUAUACAAUCAUCCAACCCAAUCAACUUUAUUGUAACCUGAAACUGACCAGUGGUGAAAGUGCUCUCUAUCAUUUAACUAAGCUGCAAAGAAAUACAGGAUAUGAGUUUCGUAUAUCUUACCCUGCAGUGACACCCACUGACUUUGUUAUAAAAGACCUUAACAUUACCGCAGCAACUGGAAGAAAAUUAUUAAGCAUAGAAAAGUUUGUCUUCUGGACAGAUAUGCGAGAGGAUAGGCAUGUUGAAGUAACAGCUAUUCAUACUGGCCGUGUUCCCAAUAACUCAGACCUGAAAGACCUCACAGUCACAUAUGAUGUAGUUGUAGAACAGUUGUAUGCUGGAGUUCCAAUGAGCGCUUGGAAAUUAGUUUUAUUCAUCUCCGUCACCAUGUUUAUUGUUCUCAAAUUCUGUCGUCAACCAUUUAUCAAUUACAUCAAUAGUGAUGAUGAAAAACUAGAAUAAUCUUAUCUCUGAAUCACUUCAUUUCUGUUACCAACGAUUGAAGAUAAGGGGGUAAUAUACAAAUCUCUGAACGGAGACAAUGAAGACAAUAAUUUAGCACUU
Molecule: unclassified non-coding RNA, 628 nt
Filed under: Dendronephthya gigantea
Lineage: Eukaryota; Metazoa; Cnidaria; Anthozoa; Malacalcyonacea; Nephtheidae
Description: uncharacterized LOC114522503, transcript variant X5
Source: RNAcentral